GAUGAACGCUGGCGGCGUGCCUAAUACAUGCAAGUCGAGCGAACGGACGAGAAGCUUGCUUCUCUGAUGUUAGCGGUGGACGGGUGAGUAACACGUGGAUAACCUACCUAUAAGACUGGGAUAACUUCGGGAAACCGGAGCUAAUACCGGAUAAUAUUUUGAACCGCAUGGUUCAAAAGUGAAAGACGGUCUUGCUGUCACUUAUAGAUGGAUCCGCGCUGCAUUAGCUAGUUGGUAAGGUAACGGCUUACCAAGGCAACGAUGCAUAGCCGACCUGAGAGGGUGAUCGGCCACACUGGAACUGAGACACGGUCCAGACUCCUACGGGAGGCAGCAGUAGGGAAUCUUCCGCAAUGGGCGAAAGCCUGACGGAGCAACGCCGCGUGAGUGAUGAAGGUCUUCGGAUCGUAAAACUCUGUUAUUAGGGAAGAACAUAUGUGUAAGUAACUGUGCACAUCUUGACGGUACCUAAUCAGAAAGCCACGGCUAACUACGUGCCAGCAGCCGCGGUAAUACGUAGGUGGCAAGCGUUAUCCGGAAUUAUUGGGCGUAAAGCGCGCGUAGGCGGUUUUUUAAGUCUGAUGUGAAAGCCCACGGCUCAACCGUGGAGGGUCAUUGGAAACUGGAAAACUUGAGUGCAGAAGAGGAAAGUGGAAUUCCAUGUGCAGCGGUGAAAUGCGCAGAGAUAUGGAGGAACACCAGUGGCGAAGGCGACUUUCUGGUCUGUAACUGACGCUGAUGUGCGAAAGCGUGGGGAUCAAACAGGAUUAGAUACCCUGGUAGUCCACGCCGUAAACGAUGAGUGCUAAGUGUUAGGGGGUUUCCGCCCCUUAGUGCUGCAGCUAACGCAUUAAGCACUCCGCCUGGGGAGUACGACCGCAAGGUUGAAACUCAAAGGAAUUGACGGGGACCCGCACAAGCGGUGGAGCAUGUGGUUUAAUUCGAAGCAACGCGAAGAACCUUACCAAAUCUUGACAUCCUUUGACAACUCUAGAGAUAGAGCCUUCCCCUUCGGGGGGGCAAAGUGACAGGUGGUGCAUGGUUGUCGUCAGCUCGUGUCGUGAGAUGUUGGGUUAAGUCCCGCAACGAGCGCAACCCUUAAGCUUAGUUGCCAUCAUUAAGUUGGGCACUCUAAGUUGACUGCCGGUGACAAACCGGAGGAAGGUGGGGAUGACGUCAAAUCAUCAUGCCCCUUAUGAUUUGGGCUACACACGUGCUACAAUGGACAAUACAAAGGGCAGCGAAACCGCGAGGUCAAGCAAAUCCCAUAAAGUUGUUCUCAGUUCGGAUUGUAGUCUGCAACUCGACUACAUGAAGCUGGAAUCGCUAGUAAUCGUAGAUCAGCAUGCUACGGUGAAUACGUUCCCGGGUCU
Molecule: ribosomal RNA, 1373 nt
Filed under: uncultured bacterium
Lineage: Bacteria
Description: bacterial SSU rRNA
Rfam family: Bacterial small subunit ribosomal RNA
Source: RNAcentral